UACGAAGGGGGCUAGCGUUGCUCGGAAUCACUGGGCGUAAAGCGCACGUAGGCGGCUUUUUAAGUCAGGGGUGAAAUCCUGGAGCUCAACUCCAGAACUGCCUUUGAUACUGGGAAGCUUGAGUCCGGGAGAGGUGAGUGGAACUCCGAGUGUAGAGGUGAAAUUCGUAGAUAUCUGGAGGAACACCAGUGGCGAAGGCGGCAUCCUGGCCCUGUCCUGACGCUCAGGGGCGAAAGCGUGGGGAGCAAACCGG
RNAcentral lists this ribosomal RNA (253 nucleotides) under uncultured bacterium. RNAcentral describes it as "partial 16S ribosomal RNA". It matches the Rfam family "Bacterial small subunit ribosomal RNA", at positions 524 to 776 of the family's 1533-position model. The record is from RNAcentral.